Molecule: long non-coding RNA, 829 nt
Organism: Acanthopagrus latus (yellowfin seabream)
Lineage: Eukaryota; Metazoa; Chordata; Actinopteri; Spariformes; Sparidae
Exons: 3
Source: RefSeq, a predicted model, not a curated record
GCAGGUGUGUCUGUGAUUGUAGGUUGUCCCAGGGAGCUGAUUGGCUGCUGCCUUGGCAGUUUAAAGGCCGGCUUCCUUCAGUUCCUGGGGGCUCUCCUCUGCUGUCCAAGAUGACCAGCAUUUGUGUGAUUGUGGACAAAAUAUGUUUCUUCGUGAUGGCCGUGGACUGGAUUGGUUUCGGCUAUGCUGCAGCCAUCGCCCUUGGAGGAUUUAUGGGAUACAAGAGACACAAUUCAUGACUUCAUGAAUUCAUUUGGUUCAGAAAGCCCAACCAAAGUGAAUUCACUACCAUGUGAAUCAUGAUAAUGUGUCUCUGUUUUCUUGUAGGAAGUGUGAUGUCCCUGAUGGCUGGUUUGGUUUUCGGCAGGUUAUCCCCUUACGGGGCAUACAACAUCUCCAAUGACUCAAAGGACAUCAAAAUCUCAAUGUUUUGUUGAUGGUGUUUCGGCCGUUGCUGCUCAUCAUGGUGUGACUGGAGGAGUAGCACUGACCGCAGCUUUCUGUUCCUCAGUGCACAACCCUGAUUCCAGUGAAAGAGUCACUUCCUGCACACACUUUUCACCUCUGCAUUGAUACAUUUACUUAAAGGUCAGCAUUCUGGUCACAAGGAGCUCUCUCUAGACACAACGCUCACACAGUGACAGGGUUUAAAUACAGCCUGUGUUGCCUUUGAAAGUCCAAAUUAAGGCUGAGAAAUAAACAAGACAAAACAAAAAAAAACACCAGCUUCUCAAAUGUUUGUUAAAAAUAGACACUUUAUUUAGUAGAAGCUUCCAUUAAAGUAUCCAUUUAAUGACAUAAAAGAUCACAGAUUCCUGUCAUACUAAAA